UGGGAUGUAGCCAAGUGGUAAGGCAACAGACUUUGACUCUGUCAUUUCGCUGGUUCGAUCCCAGCCAUCCCAGCCA
This 76-nucleotide transfer RNA is filed under the name Bacillota bacterium. RNAcentral's name for it is "tRNA-Gln". It matches the Rfam family "tRNA". From Rfam's summary of the family: Transfer RNA (tRNA) molecules are approximately 80 nucleotides in length. RNAcentral also lists the same sequence under 5 other names. The record is from RNAcentral. Lineage: Bacteria; Bacillati; Bacillota.